UACGUAGGGGGCUAGCGUUGUCCGGAUUUAUUGGGCGUAAAGAGCGCGUAGGCGGCCGUGUAAGUCCGACGUGAAAUCUGGAGGCUCAACCUCCAGCGGUCGUUGGAAACUACCCGGCUAGAGUCCGGAAGAGGAGAGUGGAAUUCCUGGUGUAGCGGUGAAAUGCGCAGAUAUCAGGAAGAACACCGAUGGCGAAAGCAGCUCUCUGGGACGGUACUGACGCUAAGGCGCGAAAGCGUGGGGAGCGAACAGG
This 253-nucleotide ribosomal RNA is filed under the name uncultured bacterium. RNAcentral's name for it is "partial 16S ribosomal RNA". It matches the Rfam family "Bacterial small subunit ribosomal RNA", at positions 524 to 776 of the family's 1533-position model. The record is from RNAcentral.